RNAcentral lists this ribosomal RNA (932 nucleotides) under uncultured bacterium. RNAcentral's name for it is "bacterial SSU rRNA". It matches the Rfam family "Bacterial small subunit ribosomal RNA", at positions 12 to 951 of the family's 1533-position model. The record is from RNAcentral.
UUUGAUCAUGGCUCAGGAUGAACGCUAGCGGAAGGCCUAAUACAUGCAAGUCGAGCGGUAGAUUACUUCGGUGAUUGAGAGCGGCGCACGGGUGAGUAACGCGUACAUGACCUACCUUUGAGAAAGGAAUAGCCCUGGGAAACUGGGAUUAAUGCCUUAUAGUAUUACGAUUAUAAAUAAUUGUAAUUAAAGCGUUAGCGCUUGAAGAUGGAUGUGCGUCUGAUUAGCUAGUUGGUGAGGUAACGGCUCACCAAGGCGACGAUCAGUAGGGGGCGUGAGAGCGUGAACCCCCACACGGGUACUGAGACACGGACCCGACUCCUACGGGAGGCAGCAGUAAGGAAUAUUGGUCAAUGCCCGCAAGGGUGAACCAGCCAUUCCGCGUGGAGGAUGACUGCCCUAUGGGUUGUAAACUUCUUUUAGAUGGGAAGAAAAUGUUUUAUUUAUAAGACACUGACGGUACCAUCGGAAUAAGCACCGGCUAACUCCGUGCCAGCAGCCGCGGUAAUACGGAGGGUGCGAGCGUUAUCCGGAAUUACUGGGUUUAAAGGGUGCGUAGGCGGGAUUUUAAGUCUAAGGUGAAAGUUUGUCGCUUAACGAUAGAAUUGCCUUGGAUACUGAAGUUCUUGAAUUAGGUUGAGGAUAGCGGAAUGUGACAUGUAGCGGUGAAAUGCAUAGAUAUGUCAUAGAACACCAAUUGCGAAGGCAGCUAUCUGGGCUUAUAUUGACGCUGAGGCACGAAAGCGUGGGGAUCGAACAGGAUUAGAUACCCUGGUAGUCCACGCCCUAAACGAUGCUAACUCGAUGUUUGGGCCUUGUGCUUGAGCAUCCAAGGGAAACCGUUAAGUUAGCCACCUGGGGAGUACGACCGCAAGGUUGAAACUCAAGGAAUUGACGGGGUCCGCACAAGCGGUGGAGCAUGUGGUUUAAUU